UUGACUGGCGAGUGUUCUUUCUCUACGAUCCGUCGGACACAUAGGAACCUCCUCAAAGGAUUCUAUGGACAGUCGAUGCAGGGAGUGACAGCUCCCUGUAUCGGCGAUUUAACUUGUUUUUUUAACGUAGCGUUAACUACAAAGACACUAUAUUGUUUUCAGCCUUAA
This 168-nucleotide unclassified non-coding RNA is filed under the name Salmonella enterica subsp. enterica serovar Typhimurium str. DT104. The record is from RNAcentral. RNAcentral also lists the same sequence under 2 other names. Lineage: Bacteria; Pseudomonadati; Pseudomonadota; Gammaproteobacteria; Enterobacterales; Enterobacteriaceae.